This 452-nucleotide ribosomal RNA is filed under the name Neisseria pharyngis. Its description in RNAcentral is "bacterial SSU rRNA". It matches the Rfam family "Bacterial small subunit ribosomal RNA", at positions 30 to 482 of the family's 1533-position model. The record is from RNAcentral. Lineage: Bacteria; Pseudomonadati; Pseudomonadota; Betaproteobacteria; Neisseriales; Neisseriaceae.
AUUGAACGCUGGCGGCAUGCUUUACACAUGCAAGUCGGACGGCAGCACAGAGAAGCUUGCUUCUUGGGUGGCGAGUGGCGAACGGGUGAGUAACAUAUCGGAACGUACCGAGCAGUGGGGGAUAACUAAUCGAAAGAUUAGCUAAUACCGCAUAUUUUCUGAGGAAGAAAGCAGGGGACCAUUUGGCCUCGCGCUGUUUGAGCGGCCGAUAUCUGAUUAGCUAGUUGGUGGGGUAAAGGCCUACCAAGGCGACGAUCAGUAGCGGGUCCGAGAGGAUGAUCCGCCACACUGGGACUGAGACACGGCCCAGACUCCUACGGGAGGCAGCAGUGGGGAAUUUUGGACAAUGGGCGCAAGCCUGAUCCAGCCAUGCCGCGUGUCUGAAGAAGGCCUUCGGGUUGUAAAGGACUUUUGUCAGGGAAGAAAAGGACAGGGUUAAUACCCCUGUCUGA